UAUGGCGACCGGCGCACGGGUGAGUAACACGUAUCCAACCUGCCGAUGACUCGGGGAUAGCCUUUCGAAAGAAAGAUUAAUACCCGAUGGCAUGGUUCUUCCGCAUGGUAGAACUAUUAAAGAAUUUCGGUCAUCGAUGGGGAUGCGUUCCAUUAGGUUGUUGGCGGGGUAACGGCCCACCAAGCCUUCGAUGGAUAGGGGUUCUGAGAGGAAGGUCCCCCACAUUGGAACUGAGACACGGUCCAA
RNAcentral lists this ribosomal RNA (246 nucleotides) under uncultured bacterium. RNAcentral's name for it is "partial 16S ribosomal RNA". It matches the Rfam family "Bacterial small subunit ribosomal RNA", at positions 87 to 334 of the family's 1533-position model. The record is from RNAcentral.